This 433-nucleotide ribosomal RNA is filed under the name uncultured bacterium. RNAcentral describes it as "partial 16S ribosomal RNA". It matches the Rfam family "Bacterial small subunit ribosomal RNA", at positions 29 to 507 of the family's 1533-position model. The record is from RNAcentral.
AACGAACGCUGGCGGCAUGCCUAACACAUGCAAGUCGAACGAGACGUUCGGGUCUAGUGGCGCACGGGUGCGUAACGCGUGGGAACCUGCCCUUAGGUUCGGAAUAACUCCCCGAAAGGGGUGCUAAUACCGGAUAAUGUCUUCGGACCAAAGAUUUAUCGCCUUUGGAUGGGCCCGCGUUGGAUUAGCUAGUUGGUAGGGUAAAAGCCUACCAAGGCGACGAUCCAUAGCUGGUCUGAGAGGAUGAUCAGCCACACUGGGACUGAGACACGGCCCAGACUCCUACGGGAGGCAGCAGUGGGGAAUAUUGGACAAUGGGCGAAAGCCUGAUCCAGCAAUGCCGCGUGAGUGAUGAAGGCCUUAGGGUUGUAAAGCUCUUUUACCCGGGAUGAUAAUGACAGUACCGGGAGAAUAAGCUCCGGCUAACUCCGUG